This is a long non-coding RNA of Panicum virgatum (switchgrass), 1706 nucleotides long. RefSeq lists it as uncharacterized. The transcript is spliced from 3 exons. Lineage: Eukaryota; Viridiplantae; Streptophyta; Magnoliopsida; Poales; Poaceae. The record is from RefSeq and is a predicted model, not a curated record.
UGAAAUUCCUUUGAAAUUCUGCAAAGAGGAGAGUCUCUACCACUGCGCCAGGUCCACCCUUCCAUGGAGAUCUGCGUAUACAUACCUAAAAAGUAAAAAAUAGAGGAGGCUGAAAUAGGAUAAAAGGCUUUUGUUAGCAACCAGUUAUAAGCUAAUGCUUUUGGUUAUAUUCUCCUUAUUAGUUGUCCUUCAACAUUACCAAUAGCCACUUGCGACUGAAUUAUUAAAGCUAACGUCAGUGCUACAUAUUCCUGUUUUUACCCACUAUACUGUUUUGCCAGGUUUUCAUGAGGCAUCUGAUCUCCUUCCUGCACCCAGUCCUUGUGCUAAGCAUGCUAAAAGUUUUUUUUGAAACGGAAGCAUGCUAAAAGUUGUGUCCAUGUUUCAAGGAAAUUGAAAUACCAUAGCAACGCUGGCGGUGGUACACAUUUUGUCAGUUGAUGACAGCCAUGCAUGUUGACUUGUUCCUGCCAGUUGUUUCUUCUACUGCUGGGAAGACAUGAGCAAGAGUACCACGUCAAGCAUAGAAGUCAGCAGAAAUCAAGUUGGCAUGGCAGGGAAACCGUGUCCCCCUUGCAACUCUGGAGAUCUGUGGCCGGUGUGAGUAACCUCGUCUCCUGGCUUUGGUAAUGUUGGUGAUUUUGAUUGAUGUUGCUGCUAAGCAGAGAUGCCUAAGAAAAACGAGGUAGGAGAAAAACAACAGAGACUAGAGCUGAGCAAGUCACUUCCAAUUUUGCAGACCUCUUCACCCGUACAGGGAGGCGGGGAACUUGACAAUCAGGACCCUUUCCUUGGAACCGGAACAGAGUCCUGCCUACCGGGGCUGUGCUGAAGCCUGAAUUUCCAUGAUAUCUACAGUCUACCCGGGGCAUUUUCUCGGAGCUUAGUGCUCCCGGAGUUGGGACGAGGUUGGUAUAAUGCUGACCCUGAUGACUACUAAUUGAGGAGGAACAAGUCGCGGCACACCAUGGACACGGAGGCACGAGCAGGAAAGAGAGCCGUACAAGCCACAGCCUUGCGUCUCUCCUUUGAAGCGGUCCUAGGUUUUGUGUUGCCUUACAUGCCAGCCGCUGCUGGCAUGCAGCACCUGGUCAAAUGUCACGCGCACCGGCAUGGGGGGAAACCAAUCCUCAUGAUCUCCGAGCCGUACCAGCUCGCAGUGUGACCUGUCGUGCAGGGAGGUGGCAAGAAGGCGCCAUUUCUUGGAGCCUGCCGGAACGAGCCCGCCGUCAGCUGCAACAAUGACGGACGAGCUGGUGUGGUUUCUCUGAAGUCGGAACAGAAUGCUGCUUCAUCUGUCAGGAUACAGCUGACGGUGAUGCCUGCAUGCUAACCUGCGACCAGCAGCUCCACGUCUCCGUCGCCGGGCGAAGCCGUGCAGCUACCACGCGUGACGACGAGACGGGAUCUCGCGGCACAUCACGCAGACGUAGCCUAGGACGGAUCAGAGUCGGAGAGUUGUGCAAGUCACGGUCUCCCCUUCAUUCCCUCAGGAAUUGAACUCGACCGGGUACCGUGCUGCCCUGUGACACUUGGAACGUUGCACAAGUUUAUCUUAAACUUGCUAGCUGCUUACACGUAAGACAAUGUGGAAAAAAAACAUGAAGCCGGCCGAAACAAAACUUUUGGCAAGACUUUGCUAGCUAGCAAGCAUUUUGUUGGAAAUCCGCACGGGGUUUUGACUUGGAUAAACAUCACGCCGAGGU